Molecule: long non-coding RNA, 15674 nt
Filed under: Zea mays
Lineage: Eukaryota; Viridiplantae; Streptophyta; Magnoliopsida; Poales; Poaceae
Description: long non-coding RNA (ZMAY_LNC001478)
Source: RNAcentral
CAGGUGUGUCCGCACCCCCUGGAGUGGACGAGAAAGAAAGGAUUUUUUCUCGGAGCAACCCCCAGACCCAGGAGUUCACUUUCCCGUAUGAGCAUUCGGUACAUAUAUAAGUCAGUGGAAGAGUCAAAGGGUCACCACUACUGAGGGUCUCCCCCUUAUCUUAGAAGGGUCGUCUGAGGGUUCGCCGCGGUUCAUUGCUGUGCUUACACACUAGGCUACCCUUCUCCGAAAGCUCCGCGGGACCACCUAUCACUAGUCUUCGGCCGGAGGGGUUUAUUGCACAAAAAGGCCGGGACGCAGAGGAAAGCCCAACGAAUGUCAGAUGCAAAGCCCCGCACCUCAUUAAGAUCAUAUUGGCAUACUCUCCCAAAAAAAAAGAGCAGACCCCAUUGAAGACGGGAGUGAGGUACAACAAAUUUCCGUCCACCUUCUCACGGAGCCGUACGUGGACGUUACCGCUCAUACAGCUCCCAGCCAGCAAGCAGUUAGCUUUCCUCUAGAAGCCAUGGGGUUUUGGCUCUGAUCCCGGCCGGGAACAGGCUAAACGAACAAGGGGUUGAUUUGGUGAUAAGGGAUCAUGGGAAUUGGAGGGGAUUGAGGAAAAAAUUAACUAUUUGCCUUUAAUCCCCUCCGAUCCCUCUGUGAUGCCUGAUCACCAAAUAAGCCCUUACAAUUUUCACUGGAUCUUCAAAACAAAACACACUAGAAACGGGAUUAGAAAGAGAGAGGUGGGGAGGGCGCACGACGGCGCCACCAUGUCUGUCGAACUCGUCGUGUCGGCAGCAUCCCCUUGGCUCCUUGAUAGAAACGUCUGGGCACCAUCGAGACACUCACCAACGGCGGUGCAGCUCACAAAGAACGUGCACGCCGAUAAUGAGCUUCACGGCGGUGGCACCAUGGCCGCCGGUUUCAUGUUGUUCCUUAGAGAUGGCAAUGGGUAAAUACGCACCGGGUAUUACUACCCCAUACCCAUACCCACGACACAAAAAUAACCCCCAUCGGGUCAACCAUAUACACUGGUGGGUAUGGAUACCCCAUACCCAUACCCAUGUGGGUAUGGGUUACCCAUCGGGUCACCCGUACCCACAAAAAUUAAAAAUCUAUCAAAAUAUUAUAUUAUACAAAUGUCAAGUAUAUCCAUCUAAAUACCAUUACAAAAUUUCUAGCAUCAUUUAACCAUCCAUUCAACACACCAAAGAUAAUUGGAUAAAGUAGUAACACUAGGAUAGUACUACAUAGCACAUUAUAUGUUCCAUUACAUGGUCAUUAAAUUGUCGUUAAGCCUUCUAUUACAUUAUGGCCUAAAAGGUUGUUAAAUAGUAAAAAAGAUGGAUGGGUAAAGUCUAAGUUCAUGCUUGGGCUAAGUUUAUAUUGGUAUUUAUACCCAGGGUUAACGAGUAUGGGUGAAGGUGGAACAUUCUAAUACCCGUUUACCCAUUGGGUGAAGGAUUUUGCCCAAUAACAGACUCAUGGGUAGAAUAUUUAGCCCACAUACAUACCCUAAUGGAGUAAAUACCCAUCGAGUAUCGGGUCACAGGUACCCGUUGCCAUCUCUAUUCUUCCUCGCUAGCAAAGAGAAACCAGAGGAGGUGACGGAGGGAAACGUGAACGGCGCAUCGAGUGCACCACACAUGGCACGAGAUGCGCGGGGUGGAAUCUGGCGCCUGACGUGGCCAAGAAAUCGGAGGUAGAGAGGUGAGCGGAGAAAUCUGUUGAGAACUACGUUACCACGGAUCGCCAGAUCCGCACCCUUCCCUCCCGUCAGCAGAUUAGGCGCGAGAAGUUGUAGAGAACCCAUCUCCCUUCCCAGAAGCACGACAGAGGAAACACACGAGACACAGGAUAUAGGGUUGGGCCUCUGGCCUCUUUCUGAUCUCUAUCUUAUGAGGGGGUGUACAAGUUCCUUAUAUAGAUAUGUGAGACCCCUUAGGGGCAAAUUAGGUAUUUGCCCACAUAACCCUAACUAGGGUUACUUAACACUCCCCCUUGGGUGAAUACCACGACCAACACAUGCCUCGUUAAAACUCCGAAAAACCCAGUGGGAAAAUAUGGAGAAAGAGUGCAUGGUGAUACAAAUUGCAUUUGCACUUUGUUGCCUCAUUAAAAACCUUAUGUGAGAAACUUCAGAAAAACUCACCAAGGAAAAAAGAGUACAACAAAUGUCAUCAGGACACAUUUCGAUCUUCUGGAUCAGGAUUCCAUCAAAUCUUCUACAAGGGCUAAAUUUAGAAAUGUGCUCCCCCUGAUCCUUGCAAAACCGUAUCAAUAUGGCACACCAUCUUCUUUUGGAAGUAUACGCACAUAGAGAUUUAGCAAAUGGAUUGCAUACUGUUGCAAGGAUUAUAACAGGAACUUCACCCCAACUCACUUCUAGGAUAUACGAGGUAAGUGCACAUAUCAACAUAAAUAAGCCACUUUGACUAAUGGUGUUCGAUUGACUGGAUCUUUAUACUUGAUAGAAAGUUCCAUAAAGGUUCACAUAUUGAUCAUCAAGCUCACGCCUUCGGGGCAUAGAAUAUGACAUUUAUUGUCUCACGGUUGUGAUCAAUAUAAGCAUUCGCUCCCCCUGACGAUGACAUCUGUCAAAGUCAUUAUCCCUCAUAACUCAAGCAUAUUCUUCAAUACAUAUGUCUCAUUGUUCAUCUAGAAUAACGAGAAUGGUUGAGGUUGGGGUGCUAUCAUUUUCUAUCUUACACCAUAAUUUAUACAUACUUGUGCAAAGCAAAUAACAUGUCCUUCAAUAGGACUUAGGGGAUAAUAUAGUUGCAAUAGUACAUAUUCUAAAUAUGACACAUCACUCAAGGCGUUCAUCCAUUGCAACAUCUAUGAUGGUGUAACAAAAGUCCAUCUAAGAUCGUAAUCCAUCAGGGAUUUUUCAUCGAUCAGAUACAUCGUUAUAGUCUGUCAUUCUGGCACAAUGGGGAUAUUUUGCCAGUAACACCUAAACCUUAUAGGUUUCUACCAUCAGGGCUUUAGAGGAUACCGUAAUUCCACAUCUAGUGGAAAUUACCAUAAGUAAAACUCAUGGAAUGCACAUGUGCUUAUUUGGUGAACUUCAAGUCCUUUGGUACCUCAUCUUAUUCCUUUUCAGGUCUGUAUGGGUCUUUAUCCCUUUAUAGGGAUUAUCAAACUUUGGUGUUUAACACAAACUUUAUUUCUUCUGGAAAGGUUCCAUUAAGGAACUAUAAUCUCAUCUAGGAGAUAUUCUCUCUACAUAGGAGAGUGUUCAUUCGUCAGGAAUGUAUUAUUCAGUAUGAGAUUUAUAUGUUGCAUAUUUAUAAUUCAAAGAUAUGGGUCCUCCUAGGAUCUCAUGACGGAUCUUCAGAAUCCUAUAAACUACAUAUUUUAAUUUAUGCCAUUUGCCAGAUAUAUUACAUAGCGGAAUAGUGUUUAUUCAACACAUAUGUGGGAUGGGUCUCUUACAAGACCACUUGAACCAUCGCAUUCACCACACAUUAUUUCAAUAGUGCCCAUAAAUGCCCAAACUUCAAGCUCGUGACUUUCAUUUUGCGAUUAUUGGUUCAACCUCGAUUGCAUUUAUCAAUGACCCGAUAAGAGAGCUUAAAGCACUCAUGCCUAGGACUUUGUUUUGGAUCCAUUUGCAAUCUAGAGUGGCAAGAUAGGUGUCGACAUAUUUGUCUCCCAUAUUUAAUAAUGAUCUCCGUCAUUUCCCAAAACAAAAGAUUUCAUUGUUCUAUAUUCCCAGCACAAUGAUAUUGCGCGCAUUGCUAGGAAUUUCAUCAUCAAGAUGAACCUCUUCGUGAGGCAAAUCACCAUCAGGGUGAAUUAAUCGGAGGAGAGUUAUCAUAGACCACGUGAAUCUGUAAUCAUAACAUAUGCUUUGACUAAGGCUGAUGGAUCAUAUUCGCAGGCGUCCCCGAGAAUAGAUCACAUACCAAUAAGUCAAAUGUGGAUAUGAUAUUAAUCUCGGGUAUAUCCACAUCUACAUCAGGUAGAAGCAUUUAGACCAAUAUGGUUACUCCUCAACGAUUUCUGGCAAACUCCAUAUACACAGGAGUACACACCGAACGACAUAUUCAGUUUGGAUUUUAUGCGUUUAAUAGAAUAUUUAGGCAUUACACUAUAUGGGCAUUCCUCCCCCUAAUGCCGAGAUGUUCUUAAAAGCCUAUAGAUAAAAUCCCCAACCACAAUUAUCCAGUUGUGGCCAAUGUAUGCUAUUGCUUGUGGUGAUUUAUUUGGGAAAUCUUACGCACAUUAUAGAUAGGGGUUUUAUGCAGUGAGCUUUGGACUUAGAUUAAUGUAGUGGCAUGAAUACUACAUAUUUGUCCUUCAUCGUGAAGGAUUAGUCUCAACUUCUAGCAAGACACGCAACAACAAGUUGCUUCAUGGUUACAAUUCUGCAAACUUAUUGUUUUAUUACCAAAUACACAGUCAAUCAUUAAGAUUUAGACUGAUAUGCGCAACACUAUGUUAUCCAGAAGGGUCCUUCAGGGGCUCAUGCAUACCAUUCAUCGUUUGGAGCUAGUAGUUAACUUUAGAUCAACAAGUAAAAUGAUCAUUAGGGUCUAGCGCUCACAAGGACAUUCAUUGGUUACAUUGUGCUUUCAAGCACAUAGGAGAAUAUGUGCAUAUAUAAUGGUGGUAAAGUGCACGGCAUCAGGCCAAUGCUGCCAGGUAGAGAUUUUUAUAUGCAGAGAUGUAUAGUCCAGCUCGUUUUAUUAUUGCCCAUGGUUUACCCAAUUACUCAUACCGAUAUGAAAUUGGGUAUCAAUUUAUGUAACAUUUUUAGGUAUUAUACUUUUGAGAGAGAACUAAUAACAAUAGUUAAUUAUUUGUGAUGCUGCCAGCAGGGCAAACAUUUCUCCUCAUAUUAUAUACCAAUUUGUUCUAUAAAGCAUUAUUUCGAUCUCUUUGUUGUUCGGCAAAAAGAGAAGCUUUGGAAUAGAACAGACAAGGCCAAAAAUUCAUUUUAUCUGGGAAAAUUACAAUAUAACUAGCUUUUGAUGAAGAAAAUGAUGAUAACUACUUGGCAAGAAUGAAAUAGGACUGGUGUCCGCCUAGGAUCCGUCUUCAACAACAGAUAAUACUGGUCUCAUACGAAGGAGUCAUCAUGACUAGGGAGAAUGCAACAGGUCUCCAUAAGAUCUUUAUAUUUUUAUCACAAAUUAUCACCACUUUCAAUCUCGUGGUCAAGACUUAUGGCUCUUCUGGUGCCAAGGACCAAGGACAUAUUAAUGCCUAAUUUAGCUUCAAGCUUUGUGUUGACGUGGGAUUUCAUGGCUAUUUUUCUACUCUUCUUACUUCUGGUAGAUCAUAUAUAGAUUAUGGUAAGCAUGUCAAGGGGUGAAAUUCAAUGUAGUUCUGCUACAUAAACCUCAAUUUUAUUUCCAUUCAGUAUUGACCUUUACCAUUUGGCUUACUGUAUACCAUACCAGUCAAAGGACUAUCCCAAGUCAAUUCAACGACUAUAAGUAUUUACUAUUUUGAGAGAUGUAUGCAACACAAGCAUAGAGGUCCUAGAUAGGACGAGUAAAGUGGUUUGAUAGAAACACACAAUGGUUUUUCACACAAAUAUUGUGAAAAAAUUCUCAGAAUUACCUUUCAAUGUACUUGCAACUUCGUGUUGCUAAGGUACUAGCCAUUUAUCUCAAAGUUUGCUUCAUGUUGUUCAGUGACAAAUAGCAAUGUGCCAACAUCUGGUUGAGCAAUGUAUGACUGAGAUUCUAACAUUUAUUCAUCUGAUAAGGUCUUAUUGCUUACUAAUAAAAUCCCAAUUUGUGAUGUUUUCUAUGCCAAAAAGGCUUUCAUGCAUUAAUAUUGAAUUUCUUCAGGUUACUUCGGGUAAAACUUUAUGCACGAGGAGAGAGCAAAGAUUUAACUUAUCUGUGUUUUAUUGUAUUUCGAUUUAAUUUCCCAGAUUUAAUAUAGUUGUUAUGGCCACUUGGCAAUAUAUAUAAAUAUACGAUGCCACACAACACAAUCAAACAAAAUAUAGAGCGAAAACAAAAUUGUUUACGAAGGUUACACAUAAUGUGACUUCAGGACCUUGAACAACCCACCACAAUCCACGCGAGUACAAGCUCUAGUGUAUCUGGCAUCAACGCGUGUACGGCCAUCAGGGCUACGAUAGUAUAGCAAGCCUUCGUAAUAAGCGCAAUAUGCACAAUUAUGGCUCGGUAAUUGGGGUACACGAUAAAUCCACGCAACGUGCGCAACAGGCGCAAUUGUGGCUCGCGGCAGACAGACAGUGCCUACAGGGCAUGCAAAAAAUACGCGACUCAGCGAUGGCGGUCUGACUCAACGGGAGUGGUCCGAUUAAGCGAGAGUGUGACAUAGCAAUCAAAUGACGCAGCCAAGUUCGUACGACAUAAAUACUGCAUCGUGUUGUCAGGGCGCAGCCAGUGCUCAGCCAAUGCCAUAACUCGGUCGAUUACCAACGCAGCCUGAUCGGCGUGUCCGAGUACCCACUAUACAAUUUAAUCACUCGAUGUGAGUCCAAAAGCUCAACAUAAUAUAAAUAUUUAGAGCGAUUUAAGUAUGCACAAUAAAGCCUUCAUAUGUAUUUUAAUUUUCUGCUAAGUAUCUUCUAUAGGAAAUAAAAGCAGAAAACAAACAUAAUAAAUAAUUAAUGCAUAAACAUAACACAUCAUGUGUAAAAGGCAAUUUUUCAUAUUUAAGCAUGCAUAUUUCUACUAAUUAUUUACUCCAGAAAAUAAUUGAUUAAGGUAGAAAUGACAACGUAAAACAUGCUUUAUUUUAUUUUGUCAAGCAAAUCAAGGAGUUGCUUAGAUUAUUUUCAUAUAACUGUGGGAUGAGUAAUUUAGACGAGGGGCUACUCCAUGUUGGUGUACAGGUGAAAACGGCCAUUGGCUGCAACUGCCGCGUGCGGCCCCUAGAAAGCGUGUAGCCUUAUUGUUUAUCCAACCGAAAGGAGUAGAGGAAAGGAAAUGGUCCACAGCAUAUGAUUUGCUCUUGUCUGCACACUGCACUGUGAUAUGCGAACUCCUCUCUCUCCUUUCUUUUCUCAGCCGCUCGUCACGCCUGGUCAAAGAAGCACUGCAUGCACGCAUUUUUUUAGCCGGAUGACCCGCUCGUGGGAGCGCCUGCAUGCGUGGGGAUGAGGGCCCCACCACCACAUUUUUUUUGACUCACUCAUGCACCUGCUGCACUCUCUCUCUCUCGGUUGAACGGUUCAGAGGAGCGACCAGACCGCAUCCAUUUAGGCUAGGCCGGUUUCUUGCCUUAUCUUUGACCAUGCACGCAAGAUUUCUCCCACUACGGAGACUUCGGAUCAACACUGCACAGGGCUGCGUAGCUCAACCUCACCUCUACGUUGCCGAUGCGUCGAGUAGGGGUUGCGCCAGCCUUGGGUCGAGCGGAGAAGCUCCAGGACGCGACACGGGAUGCAUGGAGCCGCCAACAGAGCGGCUCGCAUGGGCGGAUGACCAAUGUGCCUUUUUUUCUUAGUCGCCAACUAAAUCGCAAAUCCAAUAUGAAAAUUACAAACCAUGUUUCUUGAUUCGAUGGCAUUUUUUCAAUAUUUUCCAAUAUUUUAGUGCACAUUUAUAAUGCGAGCAUGGCUGCUGGCGCGCAAUGCGGUCCCGACGCGCGGGCGCAAAACCACUACGUCAAUGGCAAAUUGUCACGCACGAAUCACAAUCCGUACACAACAACGGAUCAACCAAUAAAAAUACCGCUCGUGCGUAGAGGGAGAAUCGAAGGCUGUCACGUAGGAUAGUUCGGCUAGGCCGAGAGACCUGUCGGCUUGACGAAGAGUUGAUGUAGAUCUGAUCCCGCAGCAACGACAAGGUAGAGGGUGCUGAUAACGUGUUGAGAACUACGUUACCACGGAUCACCAGAUCUGCACCCUUCCCUCCCGUCAGCAGAUUAGGCGCGAGAAGCUAUAGAGAACCCAUCUCCCUUCUCAAAAGCAUGACAGAGGAAACACACGAGACACAUGAUAUAGGGUUGGGCCUCUGGCCUCUUUCCGGUCUCUAUCUUAUGAGGGUGUGUACAGGUUCCUUAUAUAGAGAUGUGAGACCUCUUAGGGGCAAAUUAGGUAUUUGCCCACAUAACCCUAACUAGGGUUACUUAACAAAAUCAAUGCCUAGAGCGGCGUCGGGCCAAGAGAAAAGAGUGAAGUUGUUAGGGUUUUUGACCGGAGCCCUUAUUUUCUGAUAUUUAAAUCCGUCCACAGUAGACCAUCAAAUUUCGGUCGUUGAUUUUGAUCCAACGGAUCACAGGCAAGAUGAAGGGGAGAGUUUGUGGCAUGGCUUUGUGGGCCCAGCCACUCAAGCACUUCCACCAAACCGGUAAGAAGGCCUCACAGUACCGGGCCCAAAGGAUGACAGAGGCCAAGCAGCCCAACUUUGUUUUUAUUUACAGUGAAUUCAGAAAUACUACCUUUUCUUUUUUUCCUUGCAGAAUUAAGUGGAUAAAGGAAAAGGUCAAGAAAUAUAAAAUACAAAUAGAGAAUUAUUUUUCCAUAGAUAUAGAAUUUUAGCAGAGAUAUUUUGGACUAUUUUAUUUCUACUGCGUACUUCAGAUUAUUUUUCUGUGUAUUAUUAUUUAUUACAAAGUCAACAUGGAUCAAUUUACGAUUAAUUGUAAAGAAAUUUAGAAUUUUUUUGUAUUUUAAAUUUUAACAAACGUUAAACAUUUUAUACCAUAUUUACAAUAGAAUUAUACAUUUUCUAGAUCAUCCAACGAUGGUUUAGAAUUUUAGAAUCAGAUUCUUUUUAUGCACUAAUGUUGAUUAUGAAGCCAACAUGGAUUAAUUCUCAUUAAGUGCAUAGAAAUUCAGAAAUUUUUGUGGUGAUUAAAUAUUUUUUACCAACGUUGAAUAUUGUUACCCCAUUUUUGUACAAGAGUUAAGUAUUCUAGAUCAUCCAACAAUGGUUUAGAAUUUUAGAGCAAGAAACCUUGUUUAUGAGGCAUGGUUAUUAUUUGACAACGUCGAAUAUUGAAUUCAUGCAAGUUCUAUGUUUCAGUAUUUAUUUCAGUUGUCCUAUAUAUUUUUUGUUUUACUUUGCAAAAGUGUACACACAGGCCUACUAGUUGGUUAGAUAGGACAAAUUAAACCGCUAGAUGGUACUAAUUACCACUUCUGACAGAAAAAAUCAGAUGAUAACUAUAGUGUGUGAGAUAGAUUACUCACUGUGGUUUGAGAAAUCCAUUGAGCCUACAGUGGGCUUACCUCAGUAUGACCUUAAGGUGCUGCAGUACAAAAUCGACAAGGUCAAGUGAAAAAGAUCCAAAUGUGAAGUGCUUGAUCAUAAUAAGAGUCUCAUCAAGGACCCUAUUAAGGGUGCUAUUUGAGAGUAUUAGACAUUUCAUGUUCAGUGUAACAUCAGUGUAAAGUACAAGUGCAAUCUAGACCAACUUAGGACACAAUGUGUCCCAAAGUAGAAUAAGACCUAAAUAAAAAAAUUCAAGAAACAAGCAAAGCAGAAUAACCAAGCUUCGACUAGCAACACCCUAGCAAUUUUUUAGAACCUGUGACACUUGUCUCUACUGCAAGAAGACAGGGCAUUACAAUAAAAAGUCCCCAUAAUUCCUGCAGUACCUUUUAGAGAAUGGGAUUCCGUUCAAUCCAAAGGCUCCCAAAAGGACGAAAAACAAUAAUAGUGGCUAAGGGAAAGGAAACAGUCACUUAACUUCAGUUUUGAGAUUAGAUGAUCAGGACAUCCAUAUUCACUUCGGUGAUAGACAAUCACAGACAAUGUGUAUUAUUCAGUUUGAUAAUAAAGAUGUUUGGUCUCGCCAUCCAACGAGACAUGCUUUAUUUACUUUCACACAAUGAUAAUGUUAAUGUCUUAGAUAUACUAGAAAACGAUUCGACCAACAGUGGCUAGAAAAGAAAAGUAGGUGAUGGAGAUACCUCAUUGAAAGUAUGGCACUAUCGUUUAGGGCAUAUUUCGAGGGGGGAAUAGAGUGUUUAGUUAAAUAGAAAUUCUCCAUCCCUUAUACUUUGCAAACUUAAAGAAAUGCAUAGAUUGCAUUAAGGAUAAAUUUGUGAAGCAGAUUAAGAAAAAUGCUAAGCACAGUACGAGAGAGUGUGUUACAGAUUAUUCAGAUAGAUACUUGUGGUCCUUUUUCAGUUAGGAUAGCAGAUGUGUUCGAUUCGUUCAUAGCCUUCACAUAUGACUAUUUUCGCAACAGUGACAUUUCUCCUAUUAAGGAGAGAUCAUAAGCUUUAGACAAGUUUAAACAGUUCAAGGCUAAGGUAGAAAAUCAACACGAUCUGAAGAUAAAAAAAAGUUAGAUCAGAUCGUGGGGGAGUAUUACGGGUGAGAUACAAAGUAUGGACAAGUCCUAAGGCCUUUUGCGAGGUUCCUAAAAGAAAAUGGCAUAGUUGCUCAUUAUUCGACACCUGGUGAACCCCAACAGAAUGGAGAGAGAGAUCCAAAGCCUCUUUAUAGGGGUACCUCCAUAGCCUUUUAUAGCCAACUGUGGAGAUAUCUCUUUACCGAUCGUAAAAAUUAUCUGAACCUAUCUACUUUCGCUAUUUUUGCGCGCCGACUUUUCUGGUGGUUGCUUCCCUUUAAGUUUGGUGCCAAACGAUAUGCUAUUUGGUCGAAUUGUGGGGCCCGUUACUUGGAAAUCUAUUGGCUCCUUUGUGGUAUAUGUGCACGAAUAAUGCUGCACUCUUCGGAAUCCUUUUGGCCGAGUGUGUCAUCCUCCUAGUAGCACCUGCUUCUCCUAAAGGUCAGCCCAAUAGCACAUCUUGGAGACAACUUAUCGAGGGUCUAUUUAAGCGGCCCAUGGAACUUGUCCAUGUGAUGAUGAUCCAUGGUAUAUCUAUCUCCCACAACUCCAACUUACCAUUGGUUCUAUGGAUGGAGGCUUUAAAAAACCGCUAUCCAUAUACUCAACAAAGUCCCUAGUAAAUCAGUAUCCAAAACUCCAUAUGAGUUGUGGACUGAAAGAAAGCCCACGAUCAACAACUUCUACAUAUGGGGUUGUCUAGCAGAAGCAAGAAUAAUUAAUCCUGGACAAGGAAUGCUAGAUGAGAGAACCACUAGUUGCCAUUUUAUUGGCUACCCUGAGAGAUCAAAGGGAUUUAGAUUCUACUGUCCAUGCAGACAAACUAAGUUCAUAGAAACCACACAUGCCAUUUUCCGAGAGGAUGACAUGAUCAAGGGAAGUAAUGCACUCAGAGAGGUUGACCUUCAGGAAAAUAGGAUGUAUGUCCUGAUUUUGAUGGUUGAAGAAUCAUACUUCUCGAUACUCGUUGAGGUCCCACCAAAGGUUGUACCGACUGGAAGUGAAACCCCUUCUACAAAAGUUGCAUCACCAGUGCAACUACUACAGAGCAAGAUGCUUCACCUUCUAUGUAGCCUGAUCCUUCUGAGACAGUUGCACAUGAGAGUUCAGAAGACAGUGGUAGUGUUGUACCAAGUGACGCACCAUUGUAGGAGCCCGAGAGCAAACUAGAACCAAGUCUAAGAAGGUCUCAAAGGUCUAGACGAUCUGCGAUACCUAGUGACUAUGAAGAUUACACAAGUGUAGACACGUAAAGUAAUGAGAUAUAUAUUAGUGAGGACAUUGAUGUAGAAGGUGAUCCCACUACACAUGAAGAAGCUAUGAGAAGUGAAAAAAUCAUCCAAAUGGAUUUCAGCCAUGGAAGAUGAAUCAGAAUCCAUGAGAAUGAACAAAGUUUGGGACUUAGAGAUCAUUCCCCAAGGAGCCAAAACAGUAGGUUGUAAGUGGGUCUACAAGACCAACCGUGACUCCAAAGGAAAUGUAGAAAGAUACAAGGCUAGACUUGUGGCCAAAGGGUUCAAUUAGAGAGAAGGUAUUGACUACCAUGAAACCUUCUCACCUGUCUCAAUGAAAGAUUCAUUCCAGACCAUUAUGGCAUUACUGGCCCAUUUUGAUCUAGAACUCCAUCAGAUGGAUGUAACGAUAGCAUUCCUAAAUGGAGAGUUAGUAGAAAACGUGUUCAUGGCACAACCAAAGGGUUUUGUUGUGCACGAAAUAGAAUAUACGGGAUGUCACUUAAGGAGGUCCAUUCAUGAAUUAAGGCAAGCCUCUAGACAGUGGUACCUCAAGUUUAACCAGACUAUCAAAAAAUUGGUUGUGAGGAAAACAAGAAAGACAAUUGCAUUUAUGCAAAAUUUAAGAAAGGAAAGUAUAUCUUUCUUGUUCUAUAUGUCGAUGACAUACUUUUGGCUAGUAGCGAUAAGGAUAUAUUGGCAGAAAUAAAGAGGUUUCUUUCCUUGAACUGUGAUAUGAAAGACAUGGGAGAAGCCUCUUAUGUUCUAGGAAUAGAAAUUCACAAAGAUAGAUGUAAGGGAGUAUUAGGACUCUCACAGAAGACAUACAUAGAAAAUGUACUAAAGAGGUACAGUAUGCAUCAAAGUAAGGCCUCGCCCUGCGCCAAUAGUCAAGGGUGAUAAGUUUGGGGAUUAUCAGUGCCCCCAAAAUCAGUGUCAGAAAGAUCAGAUAAAGUCAAAACCAAAUGCUUCUACUAUUGGAAGCAUUAUGUAUGCUCAAAUAUGUACUCGUCCUGACUUAGCAUUCACUACAGGGAUGUUUGGGAGAUAUCAAAUCAACCCAGGCAUAGAACACUAGAAAUCGAUUAAGAAGGCUCUAAGGUACUUACAAGGUACUAAAGGUCUCAUGCUAAUAUAUAGAAGAUCUAGUUCCCUAUAAAUAGUUGGCUAUGCAGAUGCUAACUGAGGAAUUUGUAGAGAAACACUGAAGCCUACUUCAAGAUAUGUAUUUACACUCUCUAGGGGAGCUAUUUCUUGGAAGAGUAGCAAACAGACAACGAAAGCAUCGUCGACAAUACAAAGUGAAUUUGUAAGCUACGUAUGAGGCAAAUGGGUAGGCGAUAUGGAUGAAGAAAUACAUACCAAAAAUAAGAGUGGUUGAUAGCACAAAAAGACACUAAGAAUUUUCUGGGAUAAUGAGCCAGCAAUAUUCUAGUCAUAUAACAACAAGUCAAGUGGCACUGCCAAGUUUAUUGACAAUUAGUGUUGUGUUGUUAAGGGGAAGAUUCAGGAUCCGACCAUAAAAGUUAAGCAUACAGAACAUAGCAGAUGCUAGUGGAUCUGCUCACAAAAGGCCUUCCACCCAACGUGUUAAGACAGCACGUAGCCGGAAUGGGUUUAAGGAAGAGCCUAUGAUCUUGAAUCAUAGGGGAUAUAGAUUGCAACCUAGUAAAGUAUUUUUUUUGUUCUAAAGCAGGGGAGCAUAUUGUAGUUAAUGAGUGCGGUGAUACUUAAUCGGUCAUUGUCACACAUUGGUCUCUGUGUGUAAACUUGUCGAAGUAUGGAAUCCAGAAAAGUUGAGUAUAAGGAAUGUAGAGAACAAAGGGGAGAUUGUUGGGUGUGUCCUCGACAGCCGAUCAACAGAGAUCGAAUUGGGCCUAACCCAACUAACCACCUCCUUAAUCUGAGUCCUUGAUUGGGAGGGCCCAUCUAACCACAGUUGUAGCCCCCAAUCACACGAUGCCAUAUCAAAGGAUUAAGAGGGCCACAGGAAUAAGCUAACGCUUAAUCUUGCCCCGAAACUCUAAUCCAUAGAGAAGGCCCCCAUCGCCUAGGUGGCACAAUGACUGGAAGAGCUACACCCUAACAGUGGCUCGGAUCUCGACGCCCUAGAAGGACCUGGAUCUGAACCUCGUCUUCUGUAGGAGGAUGGAGGCGGCGCGGGAGCGCCACUAGACACGGUCAACUUACCAACCUCACCCUUAAUCAAGGGCAAACAUGCAACCCUCAAACUGUUUGUGUUUAUGAUUCAUAGAUCAAGAUGAAUACACAAGCUCUUUACUAUUAUCAAGUUCUCUCGAAUUAUCCUAAGUGUGACUCAGUAAAAAUCCUAAAACUUAACAGAUUGCACUCUCAAAUCAAUUAGGGUGCUUGUAUCCUCACAGAGGAUCCAUGAGCUUGGCCUUCUUUUCCUACUUCUACCAGGAUUAUAUAUGUUGAGCUCAAGGUACAUGUAAGGUUUUUUUAUUUAUAUAUGAGAUAAAUGUGUCCAUUAAAUUAUACGAGGCUUCGGUCAGGUCCAUCAACUCUAAAAGUUAAUUGUUGUAUCCAUAAACUUUUUAAGUAUUUCACUGUAGAUCCAUACUUUAUUUGUUUGGUCCUUGGAUUAAACUUCCAUGUUCAUAAUAGUUUUAAAUGGUCCAUAAUAGGUCCAUACCCUUUUUUGGCCUAGAUCUGACAUGAAAAAUGGAGUCAACAACCUGCAUAACAUGAAAUUUGUCGAGCUCAUGCUUAUGCCUCUACCACGCUGCUCUCCUUUCCACUCCCUCGAGCGUGGCAUCUGCCUUCCAGCCUAUGGCCCCUAUACUCUAUCUCACCUCUAGUGCUCGCCAACACCAUUAUCGAACACAAAAUUCCUACUAUCAAAGUUGUUCCUCACCUUGUGCUUCAUCUCUAUUCAAGAAAUGACCUCUACCCUUUACGCUUGUUGCACACACAAAUCAUGCCAGAGCUCAUUUCUAAUUGCAGCUACCAUAUGGUUGAGCUUUGAACUUGUGUGCUUUCACUAGUACAAACAACCUAUGUAGAGGUGGUUCGAAACCCCUUUCUAUAGGCGUUUUUCAUAACCGCCUAUGCUGGGGGCAUAGAAAUGGUCCCAGUGCACAUGUGGCUAAUUGAGAAUCGCUAGUGGAGAUCGAUUUCCACUGGCAGUCAAUAUAACAAAACUGCUAGUACAAAUAUUUUUUAGAAAACAUAAAAUGAGUUUUUAAAGUAGCAAGUGGUGGUAAUUUUCACGUAAAAUUCGUGUCUCCUCUUCACUAGUCUUCUCGGGCUCCAGAUCCUUGAUUAUUUUAUCAAUUGAUGCACUAACAACUGCUUCAACAUUUUUGCUUGUAUCUGGAUUCCUUCUCUUUUCUUUUGAAGUCUUAUAAACGACCCUCAUUAUUGUUUUGAUCUGACGGUUUCUCGUGAGAUAUCUUCGGCCUAUCCUUUUGCUGGUUCUUGACGAUCACGGAAGACGAAGCUUUAGUUGUUUCUUCUUUAGUGUUUUUGUCAUUCAUCGUUAACAAAAGACUAGUUAGGUCUGAUCCUAAGGGACUCGAUGUAGAAAAAGGUAAAGGUUGUGUCACUACCUUUAGUAUUUCUAUGGCCCCAAGUGGCGAAGCUAGUAGGCUCUCGAUAUUUUUCUUCGCCACCUCUAAAGAUUUCUCGCCAGCACGAGCAGUUUUUCCAUUCUUCGCUUUUUUAAGGAGGGGAUUUUUCCCGUAUGGGAAGACUCCUUCGUCGGCUUUUUUGGUCUUUGGUUUUUUAGACAAAUUUUUCUUUCUUUCCUCUAUGGAUCUUAUAGCCUCUCUUUUCAUAACACUAACAGUUCUCUUCCUCUUCACACCAGCACCAACCUCUUUGUGAGAUCUUCGGUUAGUCAGGGUACUCAAACUAUAAAGCAUCCAUGACCCUAUUUAAUCUUCGUUUCCCCCGACUGUCAAAGGUUGCGGCCAUCAGUUGGUCUUCAUUCUUCAUAAAAUUGUCAAGAAUCUCAUUGCAUUACUUUGAUCAUUUCCAACCAAUCUGCGCAUGGGCGCUUGAAUACAGACUGCUGCUUAAAUCGAUAUAGUAGCCUCACAAGCCCCCCUAGCAUUUCCUCUUAUUGUCUUUUCAACGUUUGGCAUUCCCCAACCAGACAAUGUCAGGAACACUUGGUUGGUAAGGAAUUUUUACACCAAGUCGCGAGUGCCGAUGUGUUCUUCCACUGUACUAAAAGCAACCUCGGGUACU